Molecule: RNA transcript, 507 nt
Organism: Arabidopsis thaliana (thale cress)
Lineage: Eukaryota; Viridiplantae; Streptophyta; Magnoliopsida; Brassicales; Brassicaceae
Exons: 1
Source: RefSeq
UGGAAACUUGGCUGACCUUAUGAACCUGAAACAAGCACAACAAGUCCAAUAACAAAAAAUAUUAAUGAAAAAUUCAUCUAAAAUAUUUGUCGUUCUCUCUAUAAUCCUUUUCUAUGUCAUAAGUUCUUGUCAUGGAUACAAUCCUUUUGCUAAAACCGUUGUCACAGUCACCAACAAUAUCAGCCCGCAAACAACCUUGACAAUAAGUUGUAGAUCUAAAGACGAUGAUCUAGGUGAGCAUCUGUUGCUGCAUGGGCAAGCGUUUCUAUGGAAGUUUAGACCAAGCUGGUUUAGAACAACGUUGUUCACCUGCAAGUUUCUUUGGAAUAACAAUGUCAAAUGGUUUGAUACAUAUAGAUCUGACAGAGAUCAAGGUCAUUGUUAUAGUUGUAAUUGGUCUAUCAAUGCUGACAGUGCUUGUAUUUCAGGAAACUUCAACAAAAAAUUUGAUAGGUGUUAUCCAUGGAAUUAAAAACAAUUCAAUUUGUAAUAAUGUCUAGUAUUUUG